GAGUGCUAAGCACUAAAGACUUGCCCAAAUUUUGAUUUUUAGCUUAUCGGUUCAAGGUCUGAAACUGUGUUUGUGUGUGUUGGCCGUUUAUUUGACAGAUCGCAAAAUUUGUUAUUGGAACUUUAGAAGACCUAAAAAUAUUGGUAAUAUUUUGUAAAUAUUGGUACAGUAACUGGUUUUUCAAAACAAAAAAUCAUAUGGAUGGAUGUAAGGAUUUUAAAUGUGAAUCUUGUGAUAAAACAUUUCCUCGCAAAAAUAGUUUGGAGCGCCACAGAAAAAAAGUAAAAUGUAGUAGGUCUACAGAAUCCUUCAUGGAAUAUUUAUUUGAUUCUAUGGAAGAAUUUUUGGAAUGGAAA
RNAcentral lists this unclassified non-coding RNA (356 nucleotides) under Nilaparvata lugens (brown planthopper). RNAcentral's name for it is "uncharacterized LOC120351517, transcript variant X1". Lineage: Eukaryota; Metazoa; Arthropoda; Insecta; Hemiptera; Delphacidae. The record is from RNAcentral.